RNAcentral lists this ribosomal RNA (371 nucleotides) under uncultured bacterium. Its description in RNAcentral is "bacterial SSU rRNA". It matches the Rfam family "Bacterial small subunit ribosomal RNA", at positions 527 to 898 of the family's 1533-position model. The record is from RNAcentral.
GUAGGGUGCGAGCGUUAAUCGGAAUUACUGGGCGUAAAGCGUGCGCAGGCGGUUGUGCAAGACAGGUGUGAAAUCCCCGGGCUUAACCUGGGAACUGCACUUGUGACUGCACAGCUGGAGUGCGGCAGAGGGGGAUGGAAUUCCGCGUGUAGCAGUGAAAUGCGUAGAUAUGCGGAGGAACACCGAUGGCGAAGGCAAUCCCCUGGGCCUGCACUGACGCUCAUGCACGAAAGCGUGGGGAGCAAACAGGAUUAGAUACCCUGGUAGUCCACGCCCUAAACGAUGUCAACUGGUUGUUGGACGGCUUGCUGUUCAGUAACGUAGCUAACGCGUGAAGUUGACCGCCUGGGGAGUACGGCCGCAAGGUUGAA